RNAcentral lists this transfer RNA (91 nucleotides) under Lentisphaeria bacterium. RNAcentral describes it as "tRNA-Ser". It matches the Rfam family "tRNA". Rfam says of the family: Transfer RNA (tRNA) molecules are approximately 80 nucleotides in length. Their secondary structure includes four short double-helical elements and three loops (D, anti-codon, and T loops). Further hydrogen bonds mediate the characteristic L-shaped molecular structure. tRNAs have two regions of fundamental functional importance: the anti-codon, which is responsible for specific mRNA codon recognition, and the 3' end, to which the tRNAs corresponding amino acid is attached (by aminoacyl-tRNA synthetases). tRNAs cope with the degeneracy of the genetic code in two manners: having more than one tRNA (with a specific anti-codon) for a particular amino acid; and 'wobble' base-pairing, i.e. permitting non-standard base-pairing at the 3rd anti-codon position. The record is from RNAcentral. Lineage: Bacteria; Pseudomonadati; Lentisphaerota; Lentisphaeria.
GGAGAGGUGACCGAGUGGUUGAAGGUGCAGCACUGGAAAUGCUGUGUGCGUCUCGCGCGUACCGAGGGUUCGAAUCCCUCCCUCUCCGCCA